UGGGGGAUAUUGCGCAAUGGGGGCAACCCUGACGCAGCAACGCCGCGUGAAGGAUGAAGGUUUUCGGAUUGUAAACUUCUUUUAUUAAGGACGAAAAAUGACGGUACUUAAUGAAUAAGCUCCGGCUAACUACGUGCCAGCAGCCGCGGUAAUACGUAGGGAGCAAGCGUUGUCCGGAUUUACUGGGUGUAAAGGGUGCGUAGGCGGCUUUGCAAGUCAGAUGUGAAAUCUAUGGGCUCAACCCAUAAACUGCAUUUGAAACUGUAGAGCUUGAGUGAAGUAGAGGCAGGCGGAAUUCCCCGUGUAGCGGUGAAAUGCGUAGAGAUGGGGAGGAACACCAGUGGCGAAGGCGGCCUGCUGGGCUUUAACUGACGCUGAGGCACGAAAGCGUGGGUAGCAAACAGGAUUAGAUACCCUGGUAGUCCACGCUGUAAACGAUGAUUACUAGGUGUGGGGGGUCUGACCCCUUCCGUGCCGGAGUUAACACAAUAAGUAAUCCACCUGGGGAGUACGGCCGCAAGGUUGAAACUCAAAGGAAUUGACGGGGGCCCGCACAAGCAGUGGAGUAUGUGGUUUAAUUCGAAGCAACGCGAAGAACCUUACCAGGUCUUGACAUCCAACUAACGAAGUAGAGAUACAUUAGGUGCCCUUCGGGGAAAGUUGAGACAGGUGGUGCAUGGUUGUCGUCAGCUCGUGUCGUGAGAUGUUGGGUUAAGUCCCGCAACGAGCGCAACCCUUGCUAUUAGUUGCUACGCAAGAGCACUCUAAUAGGACUGUCGUUGACAAAACGGAGGAAGGUGGGGACGACGUCAAAUCAUCAUGCCCCUUAUGACCUGGGCUACACACGUACUACAAUGGAUGUUAACAGAGGGAAGCAAGACAGCGAUGUGGAGCAAACCCCUAAAAACAUUCUCAGUUCAGAUUGCAGGCUGCAACCCGCCUGCAUGAAGAUGGAAUUGCUAGUAAUCGCGGAUCAGCAUGCCGCGGUGAAUACGUUCCC
Molecule: ribosomal RNA, 1000 nt
Filed under: uncultured organism
Description: bacterial SSU rRNA
Rfam family: Bacterial small subunit ribosomal RNA
Source: RNAcentral